AUUAAGCGCCCCGCCUGGGGAGUACGGCCGCAAGGCUAAAACUCAAAGGAAUUGACGGGGGCCCGCACAAGCGGCGGAGCAUGUGGAUUAAUUCGAUGCAACGCGAAGAACCUUACCUGGGCUUGACAUACACCGGAUCGGGCUAGAGAUAGUCUUUCCCUUUGUGGCUGGUGUACAGGUGGUGCAUGGUUGUCGUCAGCUCGUGUCGUGAGAUGUUGGGUUAAGUCCCGCAACGAGCGCAACCCUUGUCUUAUGUUGCCAGCAUUUGGUUGGGGACUCAUGAGAGACUGCCGGGGUCAACUCGGAGGAAGGUGGGGAUGACGUCAAAUCAUCAUGCCCCUUAUGUCCAGGGCUUCACACAUGCUACAAUGGUCGGUACAACGCGCAGCGACACUGUGAGGUGGAGCGAAUCGCUGAAAGCCGGCCUUAGUUCGGAUUGGGGUCUGCAACUCGACCCCAUGAAGUCGGAGUCGCUAGUAAUCGCAGAUCAGCAACGCUGCGGUGAAUACGUUCCCGGGCCUUGUACACACCGCCCGUCACGUCAUGAAAGUUGGUAACACCCGAAGCCGGUGGCCCAAACUUGUUAGGGAGCCGUCGAAGGUGGGAUCGGCGAUUGGGACGAAGUCGUAACAAGGUACCCGUACCGGAAGGUGCGGGUGGAUCACCUCCUUU
RNAcentral lists this ribosomal RNA (672 nucleotides) under Streptococcus thermophilus. RNAcentral describes it as "bacterial SSU rRNA". It matches the Rfam family "Bacterial small subunit ribosomal RNA", at positions 859 to 1533 of the family's 1533-position model. Lineage: Bacteria; Bacillati; Bacillota; Bacilli; Lactobacillales; Streptococcaceae. The record is from RNAcentral.